This 529-nucleotide long non-coding RNA is filed under the name Androctonus crassicauda. Lineage: Eukaryota; Metazoa; Arthropoda; Arachnida; Scorpiones; Buthidae. The record is from RNAcentral.
UAGAUUUGAAUGCAAAGAAAAGGAGAUUAGAAGCAAGUAAUGAAGCCAUCUGUAACUCAUUUAUUUUAGAAGUUGAACUUACCUCGAGUCAUUCUUGCCCAGUCUCCAAUGAUAUGGCAAACAAUAUUCUUGAAGAAAUAGUUGAAGAAUGUAGCCUUCUCUCAUCCACUCUCACUAAUAGCACCCUUCCUAUAUUAGAUACUGUAAAUCAUCAGAAAAGGAAGAGAUGCAUAGAAAGCCUUUUAAAAUAUACCAACCCUCAGUUCCUUCAAGAAAAACAUAAAUUUGACCAGGCCAUCAAAAUGAAAGAACUGGAAUUACAACAAAGAAAAUUAGAAUUAGAGGAGGAGAAAUUGGGAUUAGAGGAAUAAAGACUGGAAACAGAGAAUGUUGAACAGUAAACUAGAUUAGAAAUGGAAAUGAAAGAACGACAACAAAGACUUAUGCAAGUUGAGAAGCAAUUGAAUUUAAUGGAUGUAUGUUGCAACUGUUCAGCAAAAAAUGAAGUGUAUCUUCCUUUCUAUUUCCA